Onychostoma macrolepis is the source of this 1405-nucleotide long non-coding RNA. RefSeq lists it as uncharacterized. The record is from RefSeq and is a predicted model, not a curated record. Lineage: Eukaryota; Metazoa; Chordata; Actinopteri; Cypriniformes; Cyprinidae. The transcript has 3 exons.
UAAGGUACCGUUCUGAUUGUCUGCAAUUAAUGUUUAAGCAAGUGCAGUUUGACGUUUUCUUUACAAACCAGUUGUGAAUGCCUCUGAACUAAUGUAAUCACAGUGCUGUUAAAUGCCCAGUGGCCACAACACUUUUUACCAUAGUAACUGUCGUUUUACUGUGGUAUUUGUAGUUAAAACACAGUAAACACAAUACUUACCAUGGUUUUACCACAGUAGCUUUGGAUAAAAUAGUCUGUUAUGUAAAUGUAACUGUUUUUACUGCACACUAUUUGAAAAGCACAACACUAACCAUGAUUUUACUAUAAUUACUGUGUUUGUGUACUCUUUGUAGUUAAAGCACAGUACACAACACUUAACAUACUUUGAAAACUGUGUUUUUACUGUGUAAUGUUACUAUUUGUAGUUAAAGCACAGUAACACAACAUUUACCAUGUUUUUACCACAGUAAUGUAGUUUUAAUGUGGUAUUUGUAGUUAAAACACAGUAUCCACAACACUUACCGUGUUUUACCACAGUAACUGUGUUUUUACUGUGUACUAUUUGUAGUUAAAGCACAAAAACACAACAUUUACCAUGUUUUUACCACAGUAACGUAGUUUUAAUGUGGUAUUUGUAGUUAAUCACAUAACUUGCCAUGCCUUUAAUACUUUUAUGUAAAAAAAAUGUAAUUCAAUAUUUUUUUGUCUUGCAGUUUCUUCAGAUCACAUACAUCUCCAUCUCCUACAACAACCUUUAGUGUCCAGCAGCUGUUUAACAGCUCUCUCUCUCUCUCUCUCUCUCUCUCAGCUUUUCCUUGCCUAUUUUUCUGAACUGUUAUUCAUAAUUAAUUUACACAUUUUUGCUCUCUUUCUUCCUUUCUCUUUUUCAUCAUGGCAUAUUUUCAAAGCUCAGAACCGAAUUUUGAUCGGUUAUGUCAAAAAGCUGCUAAUAUUAACAGCUAAAAAGGAAGACCAAAGGAAGGCCUGUUGAACUCUUGUCUUGUUUGUGGAGAGGGAUGAAUUUGGCCAUCUUGUGUGUUUAUGGAGAAGACCAAAAGCUGCAAAGGCAAACAUUUCCAAUGGUACGUCUGUGUUGGUCUUAACCCUUUGACUGAACUUUACGGCAGUUACAUUUUGCACAGCAUUUGAUGUUUCUUAAACUUUGGUUUACAUAUCCCACGGCCCCAUCAGGAAGAGCCCUCAACAAAGUCUUACGCCGAAGUAGUAAUAAUCCAUAGAAUUUCAGCAAAUUCAUAUGAUAUACUGUAUAUUCCUACAAAGUUCUACGACUUCUACUCUUACUGCUGUCAUUGGCCUUUGCCUCAACUCUCGUGCAGAUUGUGCCCAUUGAUUUCUCACAUACUACUCCAUCAGCUCUCCACAAUAUCAGCCGUUUCAAAAGCUUCCACAUCUCUGUCUCUCUC